Arachis ipaensis is the source of this 179-nucleotide non-coding RNA. The record is from RefSeq and is a predicted model, not a curated record. NCBI's taxonomy places the organism in Eukaryota, Viridiplantae, Streptophyta, Magnoliopsida, Fabales, Fabaceae.
GAGGGGCUACCUUGGUUUUGAAUAAAUAGUUUUGGUCAUUACGUGGAAAUUGGCCAAGAUGCAGGUCGAGAGGCAUCUCGUUAGGCGUCUGGACCUUUAAAGCGGAGUGGUUACAGGGUUAUUUUGUUAUGCUAUGAUGUGUAUAUAUGUACUUGGUUUUCUCUCCGCAUAACUUGUUC